This 465-nucleotide ribosomal RNA is filed under the name uncultured bacterium. RNAcentral describes it as "partial 16S ribosomal RNA". It matches the Rfam family "Bacterial small subunit ribosomal RNA", at positions 28 to 507 of the family's 1533-position model. The record is from RNAcentral.
GAUGAACGCUGGCGGCGUGCUUAACACAUGCAAGUCGAACGGAAAGGCUCCUGCUUGCAGGGGUACUCGAGUGGCGAACGGGUGAGUAACACGUGGGUGAUCUGCCCUGCACUUCGGGAUAAGCCUGGGAAACUGGGUCUAAUACCGGAUAGGACGAUGGUUUGGAUGCCAUUGUGGAAAGUUUUUCGGUGUGGGAUGAGCUCGCGGCCUAUCUGCUUGUUGGUGGGGUAAUGGCCUACCAAGGCGUCGACGGGUAGCCGGCCUGAGAGGGUGUACGGCCACAUUGGGACUGAGAUACGGCCCAGACUCCUACGGGAGGCAGCAGUGGGGAAUAUUGCACAAUGGGCGCAAGCCUGAUGCAGCGACGCCGCGUGGGGGAUGACGGCCUUCGGGUUGUAAACUCCUUUCGCUAGGGACGAAGCGCAAGUGACGGUACCUGGAGAAGAAGCACCGGCUAACUACGUG